AUUAAACGCUGGCGGCAUGCCUUACACAUGCAAGUCGAACGGCAGCACGGGGGCAACCCUGGUGGCGAGUGGCGAACGGGUGAGUAAAGCAUCGGAACGUGCCCUGGAGUGGGGGAUAACGUAGCGAAAGUUACGCUAAUACCGCAUAUUCUGUGAGCAGGAAAGCAGGGGAUCGCAAGACCUUGCGCUCUGGGAGCGGCCGAUGUCGGAUUAGCUAGUUGGUGGGGUAAAGGCCUACCAAGGCGACGAUCCGUAGCGGGUCUGAGAGGAUGAUCCGCCACACUGGGACUGAGACACGGCCCAGACUCCUACGGGAGGCAGCAGUGGGGAAUUUUGGGACAAUGGGCGAAAGCCUGAUCCAGCCAUGCCGCGUGAGUGAAGAAGGCC
This 387-nucleotide ribosomal RNA is filed under the name uncultured bacterium. RNAcentral's name for it is "bacterial SSU rRNA". It matches the Rfam family "Bacterial small subunit ribosomal RNA", at positions 29 to 416 of the family's 1533-position model. The record is from RNAcentral.